Molecule: long non-coding RNA, 356 nt
Organism: Gigantopelta aegis
Lineage: Eukaryota; Metazoa; Mollusca; Gastropoda; Neomphalida; Peltospiridae
Exons: 3
Source: RefSeq, a predicted model, not a curated record
CUUCCUCGAAACCGUUUCCUGUGUGGCAAGCCCAUUGUUGUUCGUACUUCAAUUCGUAUUUUGAGUUUGAAAACACAUCAGCAAAUGUUCAUUCCAGACUGGUUUGAGAGAGACUUUUAACGAAAGAAGGUUAAUUCGACGUGUCGUCCAUUUAGAGAAAGGGAGGCUACUCCUACCAAGAAAUCAACAAGGGAUAUUCGCAAUCAAUGGUCCGUGCAUAUCUUGGUACCAGAGAUACAAGGAAAAAAAGAGUUUAUGGCGAAUAAUCGAUCUUUCGACCCAUGAAUUUGUAAAGACCACCUUAGAAUAUUCAUGUGUCAAUUUUAAGAAUCAUUGAAAAUGUUCAAUGUUAAAUG